Molecule: ribosomal RNA, 253 nt
Filed under: uncultured bacterium
Lineage: Bacteria
Description: partial 16S ribosomal RNA
Rfam family: Bacterial small subunit ribosomal RNA
Source: RNAcentral
UACAGAGGGUGCAAGCGUUAAUCGGAAUUACUGGGCGUAAAGCGUGCGUAGACGGUUACAUAAGUCGGGUGUGAAAGCCCCGGGCUCAACCUGGGAAUUGCAUUCGAGACUGCGUAGCUAGGGUACGGUAGAGGGAAGCGGAAUUUCCGGUGUAGCGGUGAAAUGCGUAGAUAUCGGAAGGAACACCAGUGGCGAAGGCGGCCUGCUGGGCAGUGGCUGACGCUGAGGCGCGACAGCGUGGGGAGCAAACAGG